CGGGUGAGUAAUGUAUGGGGAUCUGCCUGAUGGCGGGGGAUAACUACUGGAAACGGUAGCUAAUACCGCAUAACGUCGCAAGACCAAAGAGGGGGACCUCCGGGCCUCGCGCCAUCAGAUGAACCCAUAUGGGAUUAGCUUGUAGGUAAGGUAACGGCUUACCUAGGCGACGAUCCCUAGCUGGUCUGAGAGGAUGAUCAGCCACACUGGGACUGAGACACGGCCCAG
RNAcentral lists this ribosomal RNA (228 nucleotides) under uncultured bacterium. Its description in RNAcentral is "partial 16S ribosomal RNA". It matches the Rfam family "Bacterial small subunit ribosomal RNA", at positions 103 to 334 of the family's 1533-position model. The record is from RNAcentral.